RNAcentral lists this ribosomal RNA (253 nucleotides) under uncultured bacterium. Its description in RNAcentral is "partial 16S ribosomal RNA". It matches the Rfam family "Bacterial small subunit ribosomal RNA", at positions 524 to 776 of the family's 1533-position model. The record is from RNAcentral.
UACAGAGGUCCCGAGCGUUGUUCGGAUUCAUUGGGCGUAAAGGGUGCGUAGGUGGCGCCGUAAGUGGGGUGUGAAAUCCCGGGGCUUAACCCCGGGACUGCAUUCCAUACUGCGGUGCUUGAGGACUGGAGAGGAGACUGGAAUUUACGGUGUAGCAGUGAAAUUCGUAGAUAUUCGCAAGAACACCAGUGGCGAAGGCGGCUUACUGGUCCGGUUCUGACGCUGAGGCGCGAAAGCGUGGGGAGCAAACAGG